RNAcentral lists this non-coding RNA (30 nucleotides) under Mus musculus (house mouse). The record is from RNAcentral. Lineage: Eukaryota; Metazoa; Chordata; Mammalia; Rodentia; Muridae.
UNCAAAUUGUUCAGGCAAUGGCUUGUCCUG